RNAcentral lists this ribosomal RNA (771 nucleotides) under uncultured prokaryote. RNAcentral describes it as "bacterial SSU rRNA". It matches the Rfam family "Bacterial small subunit ribosomal RNA", at positions 697 to 1482 of the family's 1533-position model. The record is from RNAcentral.
UCACGAAGAACUCCAAUUGNGAAGGCAGCUUACUAGGCUACAACUGACGCUGAAGCACGAAAGCGUGGGGAUCAAACAGGAUUAGAUACCCUGGUAGUNCACGCCGUAAACGAUGAAUGCUAGCUGUNAGCGAUAUACUGUUAGCGGCACAGAGAAAUCGUUAAGCAUUCCACCUGGGGAGUACGCCGGCAACGGUGAAACUCAAAGGAAUUGACGGGGGCCCGCACAAGCGGAGGAACAUGUGGUUUAAUUCGAUGAUACGCGAGGAACCUUACCUGGGCUUAAAUUGCAGUGGAAUAACGUGGAAACAUGUUAGCCUUCGGGCCGCUGUGAAGGUGCUGCAUGGUUGUCGUCAGCUCGUGCCGUGAGGUGUCGGCUUAAGUGCCAUAACGAGCGCAACCCUCAUCGAUAGUUACUAACAGGUUAAGCUGAGGACUCUAUCGAGACUGCCGACGUAAGUCGUGAGGAAGGUGGGGAUGACGUCAAAUCAGCACGGCCCUUACGUCCAGGGCUACACACGUGUUACAAUGGGGGGUACAAAGGGCAGCUACCUGGCGACAGGAUGCUAAUCUCAAAAACCUCUCUCAGUUCGGAUUGGAGUCUGCAACCCGACUCCAUGAAGCUGGAUUCGCUAGUAAUCGCGCAUCAGCCACGGCGCGGUGAAUACGUUCCCGGACCUUGUACACACCGCCCGUCAAGCCAUGGGAGCCGGGGGGACCUGAAGUAUGCAACCAUAAGGAGCGUCCUAGGGUAAAACUGGUGACUGGGGCU